AUCAGUUCUCUUUUUUCUCUUUUUUCUGCGAAUCUAAUAGAGAACGUCGGGCAUAGAAGAAUUCUAGGGAUAGAAGGAGAAACUUUUCUAGAUCUGAAAGCAAAUCGCACCUUUAAAUCAAUAGGAAGUGAUUAUUCAAAUGGAAAACAAGAUCUUACACAUGUUGUGGCAUCAGGGCACAAUGUCUUUUUGGUUCACCCAAAAAGGGGAUAUGGAAAUUGAUUUGAGUCAGAUGCGGGAGGAUAUCCGAUUACCUAGAUCCCCAAAAGGGGCUAAAAAGGUAGUUUACAAGCUAUAGGCCGAGAUCAUAUAACUAACCUGCAGCUUCACUAUUAUCUUCGCGUCUAGGUGCACUUUGAUAUCUUCUUAAAUGCUACCAGUUAUCUACUGUAUACGGUUCCUGAAGGAAGCUCCACUCAUGUUUAAUUGAUUCAUAAUUCUUUUAACUGCCAUUUUGACGUGUUCUCAGUUAGAAUAUCAGUAGGGAAGGGGUGAAGUAGGCUAGAAUUCCAGGCGUUUUUUGUGUCGGAUAAAAGAUGCCCAGGCAUAUGUUCAUCUUAAACAUAGUAAAGAAACAAUGAAAGUAGCUGAAGACAGUGCGGCUAAAAGAGUUUAGUGGAGCAUAUGUGGGGAAGUCUAGGAUUGCAGAAUGAUGUGUCAAAAGAGCAGCUGGUUAUGAUAUAUAUUAAAAAUUUCUUUGCAAAUGUAUAUUGCAAUUUUGGUUAUCUAUUAACUUGUUUGUAGCAUGUAUUACGUUGUAUUGUAAUAACUGUUAGACAAAGAACUAAUAAUGUAACUGAGAAGAAGAUACUUAGA
Long non-coding RNA from Papaver somniferum (opium poppy), 816 nucleotides. RefSeq lists it as uncharacterized. The record is from RefSeq and is a predicted model, not a curated record. Lineage: Eukaryota; Viridiplantae; Streptophyta; Magnoliopsida; Ranunculales; Papaveraceae. The transcript is spliced from 6 exons.